Triticum aestivum (bread wheat) is the source of this 3518-nucleotide long non-coding RNA. RefSeq lists it as uncharacterized. NCBI's taxonomy places the organism in Eukaryota, Viridiplantae, Streptophyta, Magnoliopsida, Poales, Poaceae. The record is from RefSeq and is a predicted model, not a curated record. The transcript is spliced from 4 exons.
GGGCGGGCGAGGGCAAAGCCUGGCGCAGGCGACGCGUGGCCAUGGCCUGGCGCAGGGUGCGGCGCAGCGUGCGAGGGCGAGGCCUCGACGCGGGCGGGCGUAGCCUGGCUACUCCGGGCAUGAGCGCCGCGCGGGGGAAGGGGACCCGCAACGACGGCCGGAGGGAGCCGACGCCGGCCGGUGGCCGCUAUCAUGACCUUUGCAGGAGAGGCCAUGGCCGGGGAGCGGUCGCUUUGUCUCUCAACCAAAUCGCUCUCGGGAGCGUGCUGAUAAUGUGUUCAGGUCCAAAGCAAAAUGAAUGGAACUGUCUUCUCUUUUAUUGAUGAUUCUACAUAUAUAUAGGUACAGGGAGGACGCCUCGUUGGAGAGGCGUCUCUAUGUGAACUGGCCCGACGGUCACCGAAAUAGCAUCCGUCGGCGGUUGGUUAAUAAAGGUAGGGAUUGUCCCUUAAUUAAGUAUUCCCACCGUCCGGAAAUACUUGUCGGAGAAAUGCAUAAAAAUGAAUGUAUGUAGAACUAAAAUAUAUUUAAAUACAUCCAUUCUUCCGACGAGUAUUUUCGGACGGAGGGAGUAUGUUAAUUAAUCUUAAUAAUCGUCAACCAAUGUAUACCCCUUAGCUAGAUUUUCUUUGUCCUAACACAAAAUGGAGCUUCUGCCUUCUUCUGGCUGGACACCUGGGUCCACCAUCAGGCACUCGCUAACGCCUUCUCUAGUAUGUUCACCCACUUCACUGAUCUAAAUAUUAUACUUCCUUUGUCUUAAAAUAAGUGUCUCAACUUUGUACUAACUUUAAAAAAAUUCCUUAUAUAACACUGUUUUAAAUAUUGAUUCCUUAUUUAACACUCCAAAAAAAAUUCUUCCCUAAAUAACACCAAGUGUAAUUUUUUUCCCUUUCUAACACUUCGUCAAGUCCGUUAGCAUAUGUCGUUAAGAUCUGGAUUGACUGAUGUCAGUAUUUUCUCGUUGGACAAAAUUACCCCUUUGAGGAAAAAGAAAAACAGAGACCAAACCGAUCUCUCUAUUCUCUCCCGACCCGACUCUUCUCAUCCCCUUUCUUCCCAACCCUAGAGGCAGCGGCGAACCUCCCAGGCUUAGCGGCGGCGGAGGGCUAUGGAUGGCGGCAGUUCUGCGGAUGGAGACGGCGUCGCGGACGACGGCCAUGGCGCGGCUGCGGACGUGUCAUGGCUUGCCGAUGGCACCGGCGGGGCUGAGGUCAGGUCAAUCCAGGGCGUCGGGCUAGCCUCGGGCUGCGGUGGGGUUGAGCCAGCAUCGGGCCAGGCCGGAGACUUGGCUACAGCUGGCUCGGGCCUGGCCGGUGGCUCGGCUGCAGCUGGCUCGGGCCAGGGCGUGGAAGUGGCUGGGGUCUCCGGCGAGGGCAUGGCUGGGUCGUUCUUGGCAGCAGCUUCAGGCCAGGACGGUACUCAGUUGCCGCCAGCAACAUGGGCGUGUCCAGAUGGGAUGGAUCCAAAUUCGAGUUAUUUGCUCAAAAUUAAAUUGUUUGGCAACCCAAAGAAAGCUCGAAAGGACAUAAAAUGUUUUUGUUUUGAGAAGGUCAUCGAUUGUGACUUGACAAAUUAUAAGGAUUUGGUCGAGUCAAUUGUAGAGCAGUACCCGCCGCGUUAUUUGGAAGUUGCACAUGUAAUUGUCCAUGGAGGAUAGAUGCUUCUACGACCGAGGAUAAGUGUACUAUAAUGGUGAAGAAAAACCCAUGUGGCCAUGAUUGCUCUAGUACAAGAAGGAAAAAGAAGAUGAAAAAUGCAACCAAGUAUUGGAUAUGUGAUAAGGUGAAGGAUUGGCUGAUUGAAGAUGCUACUCUCGGAGCGAAGGCAUUGCACAAAAAGAUUAAAGAACACCACAAGGUUGACAUCCACUACAAGAGGGUAUAUAUGGGUAAGAAGCUAGCUCUGAAAGAACUAUAUGGUGAUUGGGAUAGCAGCUUUGACAAUUUGUAUAGGUUUAAAGCACAAGUAGAAAUCUCUUGCCCUGGUAGCAUAGUGCAGAUCGAUCAUUUCACUAUAAAAGAAAAAAAAUAGGUUUAGAAGGUUCUUCUUUGCUUUGAAACCUUGCAUAGAUGGAUUCCUUAGUGGUUGCAGACCGCAUUUGGCAGUAGAUAGCACAUUUUUAACAUGCAGGUUUAAGGGGCAGCUAGCCAGUGCUACCGCUGUAGAUGGCCAUAAUUGGAUGUAUCCACUUUGUUUUGGAAUUUUUGAUUCCGAAACAAAUGAGAACUGGAUCUGGUUCAUGCAAUUGCUUAGGCAAUCCAUAGGAUCGCCAAGGGGUUUAGCCAUAAGCACUGAUGCUGGGCAGGCGGUGAUGACAGGGGUAAAGGAAGUUUUCCCAGAGGUAGAACAUAGGGAAUGCAUGUUCCACUUGGUGUCAAACUUCAAGAAAAAGUAUCACGGAAAGGUAUUUGAUGACCAUCUUUGGGUUGUUGCUUACUCAUGGAACAAGUAUAUAUUUGACAAAAAUUGGGUUGCAAUGGAGACAGCAAAGCCAGCGGCAACUACAUAUCUUAGGAAGUGGCACACUAGGUUGUGGACUAGGAGUCAGUUCUCAACCAUUUGUAAGGUGGACUGUGUAACCAAUAACCUGGCAGAGUGCUUCAAUAAAUGGAUUAAGCACCACAAGUCCUUGAACUUGGAUGACUUAAUGGACAAGCUUAGGCAGAUGAUUAUGAUCAUGUGGAAUCGAAGGAGAAAAGUAGCAAAGAAGUUAGCUGGCUUAUUAAUUUUGCCCCUCAUAAUGAAGAAGUUGAAUGCAAAGAGUAGAGAGUUAAACUUGGAGGUGGUAGAAAGCUCAGAAGAAGUUGCUGAAGUUACUCAAUUGGGAGGCAGUGGGUCUUUGUCGUCAACUUGCAUGACAACACAUGUUCUUGUAGACAAUGGCAAGUUUCCGGCCUUCCUUGCAAGCAUGCUCUAGCAUUCAUCACAUCACUUGUCAAUGCACAUAUACAGAAUUAUGUGGACUCGUAUUACUCCAUUGACAAGUUUAGGUCAGCUUAUGGCCAACUAAUCCCUGCUAUGUUUGACAAGACCCAGUGGCCUGAAUCUAACCAUGGAUUCUUCAUGCAUCCACCCUAGUUAAAAGUUGUAGUUGGUCGGCCCCAAACUGAGAGGCAUAAGGGUUGUGGUGAGAAAAAGGGGGAAAGUGGCCAGCACUUGUGCCCUAUUUGCAAGGAAUACGGGCACCAUUGGCAUAAGUGUAAGAAGGGUAACAAAGAUGACAUUGCUGCUUUCAUGGCUGUGAGAGAACCACCAAAGAAGAGGAGGAAGACUACUAAAACAUCCGAGUCAUCCAUUGUGCCAAGAGGUGAUGACGCGCCGGCAACCGCUAUGUAUUUUCCAGCAAGGUUACCGAUUCUACACCAAUGCUUGUUCCAAAUGAUAACUAACUUUUAUUUGUGCCAAACAAAAACUGAGUUCGAUUUGUAUGUAUUCAUGUAAUCCAUAGCCAAAACUUGGAAACUACAACCAAGAAGAAGGGAAAGCAUAACCAAACAUUGGAGACUACAAACAAG